UCCUCCGGCUGGAGCGGGCUGGGUACUGUGCAGAAGGCACUGGGGGAGACAGGCCUCUAGUGUUAGGUUUUGUGUUUCUCCGGCUGGAGCGGGCUGGGUACUGUGCAGAAGGAACUGGGGGAGACAGGCCUCUAGUGUUAGGUUCUGUGUUCCUCUGGCUGGAGCGGGCUGGGUACUGUGCAGAAGGCACUGGGGGAGACAGGCCUCUAGUGUUAGGUUUUGUGUUUCUCCGGCUGGAGCGGGCUGGGUACUGUGCAGAAGGAACUGGGGGAGACAGGCCUCUAGUGUUAGGUUUUGUGUUCCUCUGGCUGGAGCGGGCUGGGUACUGUGCAGAAGGAACUGGGGGAGACAGGCCUCUAGUGUUAGGUUUUGUGUUCCUCUGGCUGGAGCGGCUGGGUUUACUGUUGGCUGUAGCUGCACGUGUCAGAGACUGAGGGCUCCUUGUCUCGUCUUCCCCACUGCCUUUGGCUUCCCC
Molecule: long non-coding RNA, 475 nt
Organism: Orcinus orca (killer whale)
Lineage: Eukaryota; Metazoa; Chordata; Mammalia; Artiodactyla; Delphinidae
Exons: 3
Source: RefSeq, a predicted model, not a curated record